This 702-nucleotide ribosomal RNA is filed under the name uncultured Pseudomonadota bacterium. RNAcentral describes it as "bacterial SSU rRNA". It matches the Rfam family "Bacterial small subunit ribosomal RNA", at positions 28 to 720 of the family's 1533-position model. Lineage: Bacteria; Pseudomonadati; Pseudomonadota. The record is from RNAcentral.
AGUGAACGCUGGCGGUAGGCCUAACACAUGCAAGUCGAACGGCAGCACAGGAGAGCUUGCUCUCUGGGUGGCGAGUGGCGGACGGGUGAGGAAUACAUCGGAAUCUACUCUGUCGUGGGGGAUAACGUAGGGAAACUUACGCUAAUACCGCAUACGACCUACGGGUGAAAGCAGGGGAUCUUCGGACCUUGCGCGAUUGAAUGAGCCGAUGUCGGAUUAGCUAGUUGGCGGGGUAAAGGCCCACCAAGGCGACGAUCCGUAGCUGGUCUGAGAGGAUGAUCAGCCACACUGGAACUGAGACACGGUCCAGACUCCUACGGGAGGCAGCAGUGGGGAAUAUUGGACAAUGGGCGCAAGCCUGAUCCAGCCAUACCGCGUGGGUGAAGAAGGCCUUCGGGUUGUAAAGCCCUUUUGUUGGGAAAGAAAUCCAGCUGGCUAAUACCCGGUUGGGAUGACGGUACCCAAAGAAUAAGCACCGGCUAACUUCGUGCCAGCAGCCGCGGUAAUACGAAGGGUGCAAGCGUUACUCGGAAUUACUGGGCGUAAAGCGUGCGUAGGUGGUCGUUUAAGUCCGUUGUGAAAGCCCUGGGCUCAACCUGGGAACUGCAGUGGAUACUGGGCGACUAGAGUGUGGUAGAGGGUAGCGGAAUUCCUGGUGUAGCAGUGAAAUGCGUAGAGAUCAGGAGGACAUCCAUGGCGAAG